This 253-nucleotide ribosomal RNA is filed under the name uncultured bacterium. Its description in RNAcentral is "partial 16S ribosomal RNA". It matches the Rfam family "Bacterial small subunit ribosomal RNA", at positions 524 to 776 of the family's 1533-position model. The record is from RNAcentral.
UACGUAGGUGGCAAGCGUUAUCCGGAUUUAUUGGGUGUAAAGGGCGUGUAGGCGGGAGAGCAAGUCAGACGUGAAAUUCCAGGGCUCAACCCUGGAACUGCGUUUGAAACUGUUCUUCUUGAGUGGUGGAGAGGCAGGCGGAAUUCUGUGUGUAGCGGUGAAAUGCGUAGAUAUACGGAGGAACACCAGUGGCGAAGGCGGCCUGCUGGACAUUAACUGACGCUGAGGCGCGAAAGCGUGGGGAGCAAACAGG